CACGUAGUUAGCCGGGACUUCUUCUGCAGGUACCGUCACUUUCGCUUCGUCCCUGCCGAAAGGGGUUUACAACCCGAGGGCCUUCAUCACUCACGCGGCGUUGCUCCGUCAGACUUUCGUCCAUUGCGGAAGAUUCCCUA
RNAcentral lists this ribosomal RNA (140 nucleotides) under uncultured bacterium. Its description in RNAcentral is "partial 16S ribosomal RNA". The record is from RNAcentral.